RNAcentral lists this transfer RNA (65 nucleotides) under Orestes mouhotii. RNAcentral describes it as "tRNA-Leu". Lineage: Eukaryota; Metazoa; Arthropoda; Insecta; Phasmatodea; Heteropterygidae. The record is from RNAcentral.
UCUAAUAUGGCAGAUUAGUGCAAUAGGUUUAAGCCCUAUAAAUAAAGAUAUACCUUUUAUUAGAA